UACAGAGGGUGCAAGCGUUGUUCGGAAUUACUGGGCGUAAAGCGCACGUAGGCGGAUUGCUAAGUCAGGGGUGAAAUCCUGGAGCUCAACUCCAGAACUGCCUUUGAUACUGGCGAUCUCGAGUCCGGGAGAGGUGAGUGGAACUGCGAGUGUAGAGGUGAAAUUCGUAGAUAUUCGCAAGAACACCAGUGGCGAAGGCGGCUCACUGGCCCGGUACUGACGCUGAGGUGCGAAAGCGUGGGGAGCAAACAGG
RNAcentral lists this ribosomal RNA (253 nucleotides) under uncultured bacterium. Its description in RNAcentral is "partial 16S ribosomal RNA". It matches the Rfam family "Bacterial small subunit ribosomal RNA", at positions 524 to 776 of the family's 1533-position model. The record is from RNAcentral.